CGCCAGACUCCUACGGGAGGCAGCAGUGGGGAAUAUUGCACAAUGGGGGAAACCCUGAUGCAGCGACGCCGCGUGAGUGAAGAAGUAUCUCGGUACGUAAAGCUCUAUCAGCAGGGAAGAAAAAAAGUCUUUGGCUUUGGACGGUACCUGACUAAGAAGCCCCGGCUAACUACGUGCCAGCAGCCGCGGUAAUACGUAGGGGGCAAGCGUUAUCCGGAUUUACUGGGUGUAAAGGGAGCGUAGACGGCAAUGCAAGUCUGGAGUGAAAGCCCAAGGCCCAACCAUGGGACUGCUCUGGAAACUGUGUAGCUUGAGUGCAGGAGGGGUAAGCGGAAUUCCUAGUGUAGCGGUGAAAUGCGUAGAUAUUAGGAGGAACACCGGUGGCGAAGGCGGCUUACUGGACUGCAACUGACGUUGAGGCUCGAAGGCGUGGGGAGCAAACAGGAUUAGAUACCCGUGUA
This 461-nucleotide ribosomal RNA is filed under the name uncultured bacterium. RNAcentral's name for it is "bacterial SSU rRNA". It matches the Rfam family "Bacterial small subunit ribosomal RNA", at positions 329 to 792 of the family's 1533-position model. The record is from RNAcentral.